GUGAGUAGUUCAGAGUUUGAUCCUGGCUCAGGACGAACGCUGGCGGCGUGCCUAACACAUGCAAGUCGAACGGGACUUAGUGGAAAGCGGCUUCGGCCAAUGGAAAUUAAGUUUAGUGGCGAACGGGUGAGUAACGCGUGAGAAACCUGCCUUUCAGUGGGGGACAACAGUUGGAAACGACUGCUAAUACCGCAUAAUGUAUUCGGGGGGCAUCCUCCGAAUACCAAAGCUUUAUGUGCUGAAAGAUGGUCUCGCGUCUGAUUAGCUAGAUGGCGGGGUAACGGCCCACCAUGGCGACGAUCAGUAGCCGGUCUGAGAGGAUGAACGGCCACAUUGGGACUGAGAUACGGCCCAG
This 355-nucleotide ribosomal RNA is filed under the name uncultured bacterium. RNAcentral's name for it is "bacterial SSU rRNA". It matches the Rfam family "Bacterial small subunit ribosomal RNA", at positions 1 to 334 of the family's 1533-position model. The record is from RNAcentral.